Molecule: non-coding RNA, 865 nt
Organism: Megalopta genalis
Lineage: Eukaryota; Metazoa; Arthropoda; Insecta; Hymenoptera; Halictidae
Source: RefSeq, a predicted model, not a curated record
GUUACUUCAAAUGAUCCCAGGAACUUCUCAUUCCCGGUUUGCGAGACAGUUUUGGGACACCCUGCAUAAUGAUUGCGAUCAAUCUAAAAGAAGCUCAAGUUUCAACGUUUUUAAAAACAUUUUCGUGUAACAAAAUUAGCAAUAUAGUAACAAAGAGAAUAUAUUUUCGUUUCAGGCUUACUAGAUUAUGUCAAGGUUAUGUCACACUCGUCAAAUUCUUCAAGUCGACACACCAUUGUUUACGCCAACUGGAAUCUAACCAAAUUUUGAUACACUCAUCCUCCAGAAAACUAGUCGGUGUAACAUCUCGGAAAAAUUCAAGUCAUUUGCAGCGAUUUAAAAACAACUAUUCCCUUUCGAAAAGCGAACCAAACGAGAACCGCACACGGUGUUCGCGAUUUAGCGAUAGCUAUCGGUCGAGCGAUCUCCGAGGAGCCCUCCAAUUACCUUGUUGCCCCGCGAGAACGCGACGGACCAUCGUUGGAAGCCGCAGACGAGCUCCUUGCUGGUGACGUCUCUUGCGGGGUCGCGUAUCACGCUCCUGGUGACGAUGAACGAGAAGACCCGCGUGCCACUGUUGUCAGGCAGCUGCGCGAAUCUGUUUAGCAGAGCCAUCACCGCAUCUCGAGGGCACAGCUAGAUCAAUGGUCCACGAUCGCUCGGCUACCCUCUGCGAAAGUCCCUAUGCCCGGACCAGCUCUCUGAAACAGAAACGGAAUUCCGCCGUGAAUCCGUGUCAUCCGAUCCCGGCCGUUCUCUGAGAUCCAAAGUCCCUCGCGAGCUGUCGACUCCCCUUUCUCCUUUACAAUAAUUUUCUCCGAGGCACCAUUAACGAGUUAUUAACGAAAAACGUUGACCAAUAAGA